AGGUAACGGAGGCGCUCAAAGGUUCUCUCAGUACGGUCGGAAAUCGGACGACGUGUGUAAAGGAAAAACAGAGCUUGAUGGCAAGAUAUCCAGGUCGAGGAAGGAUGAAAAUCGGACUUAGGGAUCCGGUGGUUCGGCGGGGAAGGGCCAUCGCUCAACGGAUAAAAGCUACCCGGGGGAUAACAGGCUUAUCUCCCCCAAGAGUCCACAUAGACGGGGAGGUUUGGCACCUCGAUGUCGGCUCAUCACAUCCUGGGGCUGUAGUAGGUCCCAAGGGUUGGGCUGUUCGCCCAUUAAAGUGGUACGCGAGCUGGGUUCAGAACGUCGUGA
RNAcentral lists this ribosomal RNA (330 nucleotides) under Clostridioides difficile. RNAcentral describes it as "bacterial LSU rRNA". It matches the Rfam family "Bacterial large subunit ribosomal RNA", at positions 2295 to 2624 of the family's 2925-position model. Lineage: Bacteria; Bacillati; Bacillota; Clostridia; Peptostreptococcales; Peptostreptococcaceae. The record is from RNAcentral.